UACGUAGGGUGCGAGCGUUGUCCGGAAUUAUUGGGCGUAAAGGGCUCGUAGGCGGUUUGUCGCGUCGGGAGUGAAAACCCAGGGCUUAACCCUGGGCUGGCUUUCGAUACGGGCAGACUAGAGGUAUGCAGGGGAGAACGGAAUUCCUGGUGUAGCGGUGAAAUGCGCAGAUAUCAGGAGGAACACCUGCGGCGAAGGCGGGUUGCUGGGCUGACACUGACGCUGAGGCGCGAAAGCUAGGGGAGCGAACGGG
RNAcentral lists this ribosomal RNA (253 nucleotides) under uncultured bacterium. RNAcentral describes it as "partial 16S ribosomal RNA". It matches the Rfam family "Bacterial small subunit ribosomal RNA", at positions 524 to 776 of the family's 1533-position model. The record is from RNAcentral.